GUGAGUCAUCGAAUCUUUGAACGCACAUUGCGCCCAUUAGUAUUCUAGUGGGCAUGCCUGUUCGAGCGUCAUUAACUCACUUAAGCCCAGCUUAGUGUUGGGAGCCUACGCCCGUAGCUCCUCAAAGCCAGCGGCGGAGUCGUGGUAUCCUCUGAGCUUAGUAAUUACUUCCUAGCUUUCGAGUCGAUCACGUCCCCUGCCGUUAAACACCCUUCUUCUGAAUGGUUGACCUCGGAUCAGGUAGGAAUACCCGCUGAACUUAAGCAUAUCAAUAAGCGGAGGA
Molecule: unclassified non-coding RNA, 283 nt
Filed under: Fusidium sp.
Lineage: Eukaryota; Fungi; Ascomycota; Sordariomycetes; Hypocreales; Nectriaceae
Description: partial contains 5.8S ribosomal RNA, internal transcribed spacer 2, and large subunit ribosomal RNA
Rfam family: 5.8S ribosomal RNA (bases 1-71)
Source: RNAcentral